Molecule: long non-coding RNA, 439 nt
Filed under: Bos taurus (domestic cattle)
Lineage: Eukaryota; Metazoa; Chordata; Mammalia; Artiodactyla; Bovidae
Description: long non-coding RNA NONBTAT025220
Source: RNAcentral
CUUAUAUUCACUGAAGUUUUCAAGUAGUAUAUCCCUUGUAUCAGAAUAUGAAAUCUCUAGGAGAAGGCUGGUCUAGAAAGACUUAUUUCUAAGAUUCUAAGUCUCAAAUGUUAAGGGAAAACAUACUUUAUAAACUUGGAAAAUUUAGUACCCCAAAAUUAAGCUGAAAAUUUCAUUACAGAAAUAUUCAGUAUAGUUUUCCAUCCUCUUAACAAUUAAAAAUCACUUCAAAAUCUACUUAAGUACAAACAUGACAAAAAUAUUCAUGAAAAAUGAUUAAAUAGAAUUUAAGUGCCUAUUAACCACCAAGAAUAAGUUUGAGCACAGUAAUUUUAUUAAGGGUAAAAUUAGAGAAUGUGGAUCAUAAAUACAUCAAAUGCAGUUCAUUUCCUGUAAUAAAAAUUGUAUUUUGCUUAAAAUGAAAUAUUUCUAAAUUUGU